Molecule: long non-coding RNA, 1105 nt
Organism: Zingiber officinale
Lineage: Eukaryota; Viridiplantae; Streptophyta; Magnoliopsida; Zingiberales; Zingiberaceae
Exons: 2
Source: RefSeq, a predicted model, not a curated record
GAGAUAUGAAGUUAAAAAUCUAUAAUUCACCCUCAAUUAUAUUACAUUACGAAAUGGAAUUAUUCAUUGUCGCUCCUUUAUAUUUUAAUGGUAAUCAGUUUACUUCUAAUUGCUCUGUUAACAAAAGGACAAAUUCUUCAAUAGGUCAUUGGUCAUCUUGUUUGCUGUGGAGGUAUAAGGCAAGACUAUUAUUGGAGUGUAACCAAGAACAUUCAAUUCUACCCCCACAAUAAACAGGAUGACCAAUAACCUUUUAAAGAAUUCUUCCUUCUAUUGAUGGAGUCAUUAAAAGUAAAUUGAUAACCAGUAAAAUAAAGAGAGCACUGAUGAACAAUUUCAUUUUGUAAUGUAAUUGAAGGGGGCUUGUAGGUGUUUAACUUCACCUCUCCAGGUACUAUAUAAAGGAAGAAAUCUGGGACAGAAAAACCAUUGCAGCUUCCUGCUACAGAUUGAAGCCCCGGACGCAAUCAUGAUAAGAUCUGCAAGAGAAGCCGACCAAAGAUGGAUAUUGCUUCCGGAUCCGGCAACAAGAUGACAUCUUUCUUCGAAUCUGGCUUUCAGUUCCUUGUUUUCUACUGUUUGGCCUUUCUUUGAUUCGGCGAUGGGUUUUAUCUACUUGGAAGCUACCCUAAUGAGUAUCCGGUUGGAGAGGUCCUACCAACUGCUGGUGAAGGUCAACUCACUUACCUCCAUCGAGACUGAGCUUCCUUUCAGCUACUACAAUCUUCCAUUCUGCUGUCCUCAAGAUGGAAUUAAGGAUAACACUGAGAAUCUUGAGGAGCUCCUAAUGAGAGACGGAUCUAAGCAGGGCUGGACUGACAACCCUGUUCUGGAUCCGUCUCUAGUUCCUUGUACGGACGAUCUAACAUUGCAAGUAUUUGUGAGAAAUAAUCCUCUCCACGUCAUUUUUUUUAUGUUUUAUUAUCUUGAUAAUUAGUUAUUACUUGGUCUAGAUCCUAUUUUUAUGGAUCUCAUCUAGAUCCUAUUUUUAUGGAUCUUGUGUUCGUGCUCUUAUCAUUUGUGAUGCUAUAUAAAGAGUCCUAGAGGCAUGUAGAAGGCAUCUCAUUGUAAGGUUUCCUUUCAUAAGUGAAGUUCCUAUUUGUCC